This 272-nucleotide long non-coding RNA is filed under the name Setaria viridis. RNAcentral's name for it is "long non-coding RNA (SVIR_LNC005830)". Lineage: Eukaryota; Viridiplantae; Streptophyta; Magnoliopsida; Poales; Poaceae. The record is from RNAcentral.
CACGGGAGAGAUAAGGAAGAGGGAGGGGAGGCAUCGCGGAUGGGAAGGACCUUUAGCCCGGUUGAAAAUUCCAACCGGGAUAAAAGUGGAGUCUAUUGUUCCAAUUGGAAUUUCCAACCAGGAUAAAAGGGGGUUGCGUCCGUGCCAGCUCUUUUCAACCGGGACUAAAGCUCCUCCCGUCGAUGUCUUUUCGGUGCCUCAUUUUUAACCCGGGAUUAAAGCCCCUUUAGUCACGGGCCCAAUGCUAACCGGGACAAAAGAGGUUGGAUGGA